CCUACGGGAGGCAGCAGUAGGGAAUCUUCCGCAAUGGACGAAAGUCUGACGGAGCAAUGCCGCGUGAGUGAUGAAGGCCUUAGGGUUGUAAAACUCUGUUGUUAGGGAAGAAUAGGUAUCGGAGUAAUAUGCCGGUACUUUGACGGUUCCUUACCAGAAAGCCCCGGCUAAUACGUGCCAGCAGCCGCGGUAAU
RNAcentral lists this ribosomal RNA (194 nucleotides) under uncultured bacterium SP31-5. RNAcentral's name for it is "partial 16S rRNA". It matches the Rfam family "Bacterial small subunit ribosomal RNA", at positions 338 to 524 of the family's 1533-position model. The record is from RNAcentral.